RNAcentral lists this ribosomal RNA (137 nucleotides) under Motyxia bistipita. Its description in RNAcentral is "partial small subunit ribosomal RNA". The record is from RNAcentral. Lineage: Eukaryota; Metazoa; Arthropoda; Diplopoda; Polydesmida; Xystodesmidae.
AAAGUGGAUUUAUUAGUAAUUAGGUUUUAUUAUUAUUUAAUGAAGUAUGGAAUAACAUGUGUACAUAUUGCCCGUCGCUCUCGGUUUUUGAGAUAAGUCGUAACAUAGUUGAUUUACUGGAAAGUGAGUCUUUUUGG